Unclassified non-coding RNA from Papio anubis (olive baboon), 148 nucleotides. It matches the Rfam family "Metazoan signal recognition particle RNA". From Rfam's summary of the family: The signal recognition particle (SRP) is a universally conserved ribonucleoprotein. It is involved in the co-translational targeting of proteins to membranes. The eukaryotic SRP consists of a 300-nucleotide 7S RNA and six proteins: SRPs 72, 68, 54, 19, 14, and 9. The record is from Ensembl. NCBI's taxonomy places the organism in Eukaryota, Metazoa, Chordata, Mammalia, Primates, Cercopithecidae.
GCCGGGUGUGGUGGCGCAUGCCUGUAAUCCAGCUACUGGGGAGGCUGAGGUGGGAGAAUUGCUUGAACCCGGGAGGCGGGGGUUGUAGUGAGCCGCGAUCAUGCCACUGCACUCCCGCCUGGGUGACAGAGCGAGACUCUUGUCUCAA